Molecule: non-coding RNA, 5444 nt
Organism: Cricetulus griseus (Chinese hamster)
Lineage: Eukaryota; Metazoa; Chordata; Mammalia; Rodentia; Cricetidae
Source: RefSeq, a predicted model, not a curated record
GUGAUACUUGCGACCAGGUUUUAUGUCUUUAUUUCUUUUCCAUCUUCUUUGGUACUUUCUGCUUAACUGCAUGUAAUUAAUGUCUCCUCUCGCACUGAAAACCUCUUCCAAGAAAAGGUGUUCUCUCAAUCCCCGUACUGUGUUAAAAAACAAACAAACAAAAAAGCAAAACAAAACUGUAGCUAAUGUUUAGUGAGGGCUGACUUGCAGCCUACUUCUAAGUGCAGUUUAAUACGGCAUCUUUUGACGUGUGUCUGUUGUACUGUUACACAAAUGAGGAAACGGAGGCACGAAGGAAUUGGGACAGCACAGUGCCCAGCGUGUAUCAGACCACGGGAGCACCUAGGUUUGAUUCUCAGCACCCACAUGGAGGCUCACAACAGUUGGUAACUCCAGAUCCAAGGAAUCCAUUGCUUCUGCUACACCAGCAUAUAUAAGCAGUAAGGACUAUCAAGUGACACUCUAAAAGCAGAGUUGCCUGGAAGAGUCUCACAUCAACUGGAUUGCCUGAAAGAAGCAGGGACUCCAAACUGUUGAGUUUCCUGUGAGUUGUGCAGUGCAGCCCAUGUUUCCAGCUUUCCUGAGCUGACAUCAUGCUGGAGGAGGCUUUUAGCAAUGCAGUUGUCUUUGAGUCAUUUCUGCUCCUGUAAGUAAGCUCAGUAAAACUCAUUGCUUCACCAGGUUGGACUUUGGUUUUCUGAAACGAGUAGAUGUUUGUUCACAGCUCUUCAGGAAUAGUGUCCUACAGCCUGGGCAUAGCCUGUGUGCUUAAGGAGUUGUGGCUUAACCCGGAAAAUGUAGCCUCCUGAUAAGAAAAUGCAAAUGUUUUCUAGUUUGUCUUUUUUUUUUUUUUUUGGUUUUUCGAGACAGGGUUUCUCUGUGGCUUUGGAGGCUGUUCUGGAACUAGUUCUUGUAGACCAGGCUGGUCUCAAACUCACAGAGAUCUACCUGCCUCUGCCUCCCGAGUGCUGGGAUUAAAGGCGUACGCCACCAACACCUGGCCCUCUAGUUUGUCUUUUAAGAUACAAUUGCUGAAGUGAAUAAAUGAAGCUGGGCUGCUACAAAUACCUGCACAGGUAAAUUACCAUCAGAGAUUUACUGAUCUGUUGUGGUGGCUGUGAAGUUCAAGAUGAAGGCUAAAGACCAGAUGUCUUAGGUUUUAUUAUUUUUUCAUUGAUGGUAUCUUCUGUGUGUCCUCAUGUGGCAGAGGAGCAAAGGGGACAAACAAGUAAGGACAUUUUGCUAUUUAAUAGGUAACUGAAGAGCUGGAGAGAUGGCUUCAUGGUUAAGAGCCCUUGUUUCUCUUACAGAAGAAGCUCUACUCUCAUGCCCAGGAUACACACAGCCAAAGCCCCUCCUCGUAAUACUAAUACAUCUUGCUACAUGUGAACUUAGGAGGUGACAUGAUUCAGGUGAUAGCACAGAGACCUGGAGACUCAGCUUCGAUCCCCUUGCUGUAACUGGUGCACUUUGCCCCUCCCUCCAGUCAGUCUUCGAAUACUUCGCCUCUCUUGCACACUCUCUCUCCCCUGUCCCAGAGCUGCGAAUUGAUACCAUCUUAGUAUGUCCAGUUCAUGGCCUUGUCAGUGACCUUUCAAAAAACAAUUUCAUUUUUUUUCCCCCUCAAACAACGGUUCUAGGACAAGUUGCUCUAGGCUUGCUAUGCAGCCCAAGAUGACUGAACUUUUUCACCUCUUCCUGAUAGUGCUGGGAUUACAGAUGUGGACCACCAUGCCUGGCUUAUGUGGUGCUGGAAGUGUAACCCAGGGAAUGGUUCAUGCUUGGGUUUUGUUGUUGUUUACAGGACUAAUAAAAAGUAGAAACAAGCCAGCGUCUAACAUCUGGUACAUGGAUAAACAAUGGGGUCCAUCCAUAUGUUAGUGUUUUCUCUAAAGAAGUGGAGCAUUCCCUCCUGGAGAGAAAAGAGAAGCAUACGAGGCUGCGAUGCUAGGGAAGCUCAUCAGACUCGAGAGAAAGUUUUCAAGACAUCCCCCAAGCUUCCAUAAGCAAUAAACAGUCGCCAGGGAGAAGACUCCCCUCAGUGGGCUGCCUGUAGGUUGAACAGGGAGCUCCAAAGAAGAUGCAGCUUUUGUGAGUUGUUGAUUUUUGGUGUUUUAGCUGCUCUUGAGUCACCCCACGCUCCUGAGUAACCCCAGUAAGCUUACUGGUUCACCAAGCUAGACCUGGGUGGAAUAGUUUCUUUGGACUGUUGUUAGUGCCCCUGUGGGGUGAGUAAGUGUUUGUUAUAGGAAGUCACACAACACCAUGCAGGGAGCACUUGGCCAUUAGGCAAAUGAAGCACUGGUACAUACUAUAACAUAGAACCUAAAACAAGGCAAAAAAUAUGCUUAGCGAAUCCACACACAAAAGGCCACAUUAGACGAGUAGUCAUCUGAACUAUACAGAAUAGGCUCUAGCACUGUCUGAACUGUACCACCACCCUUAAAAGAGCAAAAGUUUUAAAUUUCGAUUAAGUACACUUAACUAAUCUUUCAAAACACAAUGCUGUGUGUUAUACUUAGGAAAUCAUUGCCAAAUCAAAGGCUUCCUUAUUUUUAAUGAUUUUAGUGAACAAAACCCUAGCACCAUCCUUUAGAGUUCCCUGGAAGCACAUUUUCUUAGUCUCCAUACACUGUAACAAGGUAUUGCUCAUGAUUCUGAAGUUCAAGGUCCUGGGCCGAAGCCAGUGUUGAUCUUGUCCUGAGGUGGUGUAAGGUAUCCCAUGGCAAGUGACACAACUCUUACAAAGCCACCAGAAGUUCAAUUACAAAUGUAAUACCCUGAUGCACAGUAUAGUCCUAUCACUUUUCAGAAGCCCCACUUCUACAUGGUAUUCUAAGACAUUUCCACUCUUUUAAAUGGAGAUUAAAUUUGAACACACAAACUUCUGGGUGACACUCUCGCAACCAUAGCCUAUGUUUGAAAAAUAUGAGGGGAAAGCAUGGUAGUUAUGACUUAAUAGUACUGGAAUCCAAACAGAAAAUUAAAUGCUAACAAUAAAUGGGAUACCUAUAUGUUUUUGUUUUUUGAGACAGGGUUUCUCUGUGGCUUUUGGAGGCUGCCCUGGAACUAGCUCUGUAGACCAGGCUGGUCUCGAACUCAUAGAGAUAUACCUGCCUCUGCCUCCCGAGUGCUGGGAUUAAGGCGUGUGUCACUGCCGCCCGGCGGGAUACCUAUGUAUACAUCAACAUGCUCAAUUGUAGUUUUCAAUUUUUUGAGAGAUGGUCUUGAUACACAUACACACACACACAUACACACACACACACACACACACACACACACACACACACACAUCCAUCCUUGGCUCACCUAGAACCUAGUAUGUUAAUUAGGCUGACAUUGCAUUUGCAGCAAUCUUUCUGCUUAUGCCUCCUAAAUGCUAAGAUUAUAGGUUUAUACAACCACACCUAGCCUCACUAGUUAAAUUAAGUCGACUGUGCCUGAUACUUGAAAGUUACCUCCAUAAAAUUAAAAAGAUAUAGUUGAUUACCUCAAUAAAAAGUAUAAAAAGAAUCACACUUUAAAUUCUUCCAAUUAAAUAAUAAAUGUUUUUAUUUCUCUGACAACUUUUAAAAUGUGAACAUUCUGUGAUUUAGCCACAGAAUUUAUUUACUUCCAAGUAACUUCUUCAUUGGGCCUCAGUUCCCUGUGUGAAAAGAAAUAAGGAAAGGAAAAACAGUAAAUCAACUUAAAAAACACUCAACUUUUACUUUAUGUGUGGGUGUGGGUGUGCGCCUUACAGUAUAUACAUUCACCAUGUGUAUGCAGGUGUCCUAGCAUACCAGGAGAGGGCAGUGGAUCCCCUGGACCUGGAGUUGGGCAGUUGUGAGCCACCAAUCAUGUGGAUGCCAGGAACUAAAUUGGGUCCUCUUUAAAAGUAGCAAAUGCUUUUAACCACUGAGCCAUCUCUCCAGCCCCCAUAUAAAAACAUUUUUUUGUAUAAGAGGGCCAGAAGUUUAUAUUUGUUUAAUUCUAUCAAACUGACAUAUUUAGGUUUUACAUUAGACUCAUAGACAUUCAUUCAGUUCUCCCAUCAACUUUUACUCUUUCCCAGCUUAAAGAACAGUAAUUUCUUGAUUUAUGACACUUUGUUCUUCUGAGAGUACUUGUUUCUGAAUACUUUGCAGCUCAUUUCAUCUUUCUUGAAAUACCAGACUUGUAAACCAAACCUGCAUAGUGACGCUGGAUGCUACUCAUAGUCUAUUUGAGCUUCCAAAAUCCAGAUAGCUAUAUCCACUGGCAGGUAGCUACACUAUCUGGUCUUGUUAGGCAUGCCGUGGAUCCAGGCAGCUCUGGGCGUUACCACUCAGUCACCGUGUGUAAAGCUCUCAUGCAGUGAUGCUAAGAACAAAGCAUUACCGUUUCCUUCAGCUAUUUUAUGGCUUAAGACAUGUGUUCUACAGCAACAUAUGUGAAAGCAUAAAUGGUAAGUCUUGGGCAGCUGACUUAAGUUUUGUUUUUACACUAAAAUACACUCUUAAUAGAAGUGGGAACUACGAGGGGAGGCCUCAAGGGAAAGGGCAACAAUAAAGGGUAAUGGAAAUUAGAAAAGACAAAAUAUUGCAUGUUUCCUGUCAUGCAAAGUCUAGAUUUAAAAUACAUGUGACGUGAAAAACAGAAGGUAGCCCAUUUGGGAGAGGAAGGGAACCAGUGAGGGGACAAGAAGAACAAAUGCAUGCAUAAUGGGGGUGCUGGAAAAUGGCUCACUGGUUAUGAAUACUUGUUGCUCUCACAGGAUAUCCACACUGGGAGGCUCACAAGUACCUGUAACUUCAGCUCCAGGGAACCCGAUGCCUUCUUCUGGCCUCUAACAACACCCACACAAUAUGUGACAAACACAUAAAUACAAACCAUUUUUUAAAAAGUCACUAUGAAAAAGAGUAAUAAAAAACAGGAAACUUUCGAAGAUCUGAGAUGGCUAGAUAAUAAACUACAGAUUAUUUAUAUUCCAGAGGUAAUCAUACAAUUUCAUCUAAAGAGUAAAUAACAAGCAUGAAGUGUCCAUCACUUGAUUAUAAAUCAUCACAGUAGAAAAAUACACCUCUUUGUUCAUUGAUUGAAAAAAGAGCCCAAACUCCCUAAAGGCUUGUGAACUAACCUUCGAAAUAGCAUACUCUUAUUCCGGAAGGUAGUCAGCUUUUCGUCAGCCCUCUUGUCUAGAUAGUAUCCAAAGGCAAAUCCCAUAGGGACAAGUAUAUGAACCCAGUGGUCACGUACAAGCUGAAGCAAGGUCAUAAUGGCUGCUAAAAUGGGGAGAAAAUGAAAUAUGAAAUACAAUGCCUUUGAGGUACUGAAAUAAAAGGUGGCUGGGGAUUCCUAGGGACUAGGAGCACUAUACCUUAGCAAGGGGAUGAGGGUGGAAGGAGGAUAUAAUCGAUACACGCUAUAUGAAUAGGGAUUCCAUUAGUAUGUACAAUUGGUGUUAAUAAAUCAUUACGCUUUGG